AUUGAACGCUGGCGGCAGGCCUAACACAUGCAAGUCGAGCGAGCGGCGGACGGGUGAGUAAUGUCUGGGAAACUGCCUGAUGGAGGGGGAUAACUACUGGAAACGGUAGCUAAUACCGCAUACCAUCAGAUGUGCCCAGAGGGGAUUAGCUCGUAGGUGGGGGAACGUCUCACCUAGGCGACGAUCCCUAGCUGGUCUGAGAGGAUGACCAACCACACUGGAACUGAGACACGGUCCAGACUCCGACGUGAGGCAGCAGUGGGGAAUAUUGCACAAUGGGCGUAAGCCUGAUGCAGCCAUGCCGCGGGUGUGAAGAAGGCCUUCGGGUUGUAAAGCACUGUCAGCGGGGAGGCGUUACCCGCAGAAGAAGCACCGGCUAACUCCGUGCCAGCAGCCGCGGUAAUUC
RNAcentral lists this ribosomal RNA (406 nucleotides) under uncultured bacterium. RNAcentral describes it as "partial 16S ribosomal RNA". It matches the Rfam family "Bacterial small subunit ribosomal RNA", at positions 30 to 526 of the family's 1533-position model. The record is from RNAcentral.